Molecule: unclassified non-coding RNA, 241 nt
Filed under: plant metagenome
Description: partial contains small subunit ribosomal RNA, internal transcribed spacer 1, and 5.8S ribosomal RNA
Source: RNAcentral
UUUCCGUAGGUGAACCUGCGGAAGGAUCAUUAUUGAAUGAAACACUUCUGGCUUUAUGCUGUUGUGCUUGCCCUUUGGGCAAUGUGCACACGGCUCUGGUCACUUGUUUCUUCUGUUCCACCUGUGCACUGCCUGUAGACACGCUGUGUCUAUGAUAUUUGUUAACACACAACAAUGUUAGUUGGCAUGUUAUAUAUAAUAAUAAAAUAUACAACUUUCAACAACGGAUCUCUUGGCUCUC